ACGUAGGGGGCAAGCGUUGUCCGGAAUUAUUGGGCGUAAAGGGCGUGUAGGUGGCUCGUGAAGUCAGGAGUGAAAGCCCGGGGCUCAACCCCGGGACUGCUUUUGAAACCAGCGGGCUUGAGUACAGGAGAGGGAAGUGGAAUUCCCAGUGUAGCGUUGAAAUGCGUAGAUGUUGGGAUGAACACCAGAGGCGAAAGCAGCUUCCUUGCCCGGAACUGACACUGAGCCGCGUAAGCGUUGGGAGCUAACAG
RNAcentral lists this ribosomal RNA (251 nucleotides) under uncultured prokaryote. RNAcentral describes it as "partial 16S rRNA". It matches the Rfam family "Bacterial small subunit ribosomal RNA", at positions 525 to 775 of the family's 1533-position model. The record is from RNAcentral.